This 434-nucleotide ribosomal RNA is filed under the name uncultured bacterium. RNAcentral describes it as "partial 16S ribosomal RNA". It matches the Rfam family "Bacterial small subunit ribosomal RNA", at positions 29 to 507 of the family's 1533-position model. The record is from RNAcentral.
AGCGAACGCUGGCGGCAGGCCUAACACAUGCAAGUCGAACGAACCUUUCGGGGUUAGUGGCGGACGGGUGAGUAACACGUGGUAACGUGCCUUUAGGUUCGGAAUAACUCAGGGAAACUUGUGCUAAUACCGAAUGUGCCCUUCGGGGGAAAGAUUUAUCGCCUUUAGAGCGGCCCGCGUCUGAUUAGCUAGUUGGUUGAGGUAAUGGCUCACCAAGGCGACGAUCAGUAGCUGGUCUGAGAGGAUGAUCAGCCACAUUGGGACUGAGACACGGCCCAAACUCCGACGGGAGGCAGCAGUGGGGAAUCUUGCGCAAUGGGCGAAAGCCUGACGCAGCCAUGCCGCGUGAAUGAUGAAGGUCUUAGGAUUGUAAAAUUCCUUCACAGGGGACGAUAAUGACGGUACCCGGAGAAGAAGCCCCGGCUAACUUCGUG